CCACAAAAAACUGAUGUAUGAUCUAUUAAACAAUUUUACAUUACAGGCAGUCAAAUGAACAUACAGAAACAUGGGAAUACCAUAUCGACAGAGAGGAACUGUUGUCACAAGUUGAAACUUACCAACGGUGUUAUGACAGUAUACACAAAUGCACGUAGUUGUCUACUCAGUCUAAAAUUAAAGAACAAUGCCUGGGGAUGUUUGUUUUUAAAAAUCCGUUUAAGGAUAGAGUUUCUGCAGAGGAAUUUAGAACAACCAACUCAAUUACACAGAAUAAAGCUGUGCUUGGCAAAAGCACACCAGUGUCCAUAAACUAUGUUGGCCUAAAAGUAAGAUAUGUUAAGUGUUACUUGUGCUCUUAAAUAAAAAUGUGUCAUGACUUGAGUGUUUUAUUUCUGAUAUCGAAAAGCUGAGCUGUAAAUGUUUAUAUGUUUGUAAAACACAACUGUUCUCAAAGUGAAAAGGUUUCAUUGUCCUUGAGUCUCAAACCGGUUUAGUUUGCCACACCCCCUCUGAAGUUUGUGGUGAGAGCAGAAAAUGGGCCGGGUGAUCAAAGGUAGUGUUUGUGUGUGAAAGGGUACUUGCGCACAUACUGAUUGCGUAGGGCUUUAUCUUUGAAUAUGCUUUCAGAGUUGGACCCUUGUGAAGUUUUCAUGCAUGGUUUACACAGAGCAUGAUCUACUGUAGGUGACAAUUGUGCGCUUUGUUGUGUAACAUAAGAAGGAAGUGGGUGUGAUUUCUUUUGCAACAAGAGUUUUGCAGUAUUCAAAGAUUUAGGUAGUAACAAGCUAGCUCUAAUAAAAAGCAAACGGAUUGUAAAUGUUUAAGUCAGUAACUCUGUAGUGUCAGUACAAUAUUCCUUUUAUUUGCAUGCCCUUUGGUAGAACCUUCAAGUCCAGAACUGAUUUGAACAUGUGGUAAGUUAUGUAAUCAUUCCUUCGACUAUAUAUCCAUCUGGCAUCAAUCUGGUGCGGAGCAUAGUACACUACACAAUGUUCUUUCAGAAAAAAGGAGGCUGCAUAGCUAUAGGAAUACUUUAUUGAAAAGCACAGAAGUCAAGGUUUUAUAAAAGAACCUAGGCAGCAAAUCAUAAGCAUUAUAAAAUAUGAGUAACAAUGAUUGAAAAAUUACCAUACAGAAAUAUAAUAUAUACAAUAUAUACACAAAGUAACAGCUGUAUCAAUCUCAAAAGCAAGUAAUAUUUAUAUUUACAAACAAUAUUGGUUAAAGAAUCUGUUUAAGCUAUCCCAAGUACAAAAGAAGUAAAAUAUAAAAAAUAUAACAUUCAAGAGAAA
Molecule: long non-coding RNA, 1295 nt
Organism: Etheostoma cragini (Arkansas darter)
Lineage: Eukaryota; Metazoa; Chordata; Actinopteri; Perciformes; Percidae
Exons: 3
Source: RefSeq, a predicted model, not a curated record